Molecule: ribosomal RNA, 254 nt
Filed under: uncultured bacterium
Lineage: Bacteria
Description: partial 16S ribosomal RNA
Rfam family: Bacterial small subunit ribosomal RNA
Source: RNAcentral
UACGGGGGGAGCAAGCGUUGUUCGGAUUUACUGGGCGUAAAGGGCGCGUAGGCGGCCAGCACACGUCAGUUGUGAAAUCUCCGAGCUUAACUCGGAACGGUCAACUGAUACUGUGCGGCUAGAGUGCGGAAGGGGCAACUGGAAUUCUUGGUGUAGCGGUGAAAUGCGUAGAUAUCAGGAGGAACACCUGCGGUGUAGACGGCUUACUGGACCAUAACUGACGCUGAGGCACGAAAGCGUGGGUAGCAAACAGG